UUCCUACGGGUGGCUGCAGUGGGGAAUCUUGGACAAUGGGGGCAACCCUGAUCCAGCCAUGCCGCGUGAGUGAAGAAGGUCUUCGGAUUGUAAAGCUCUUUUGCCAGGGACGAUAAUGACGGUACCUGGAGAAUAAGCCCCGGCAAACUUCGUGCCAGCAGCCGCGGUAAUACGAAGGGGGCUAGCGUUGUUCGGAAUUACUGGGCGUAAAGCGCACGUAGGCGGGUGGUUAAGUCAGGGGUGAAAUCCCGGAGCUCAACUCCGGAACUGCCUUUGAUACUGGCCAUCUAGAGAUCGGAAGAGGUGAGUGGAAUUCCCAGUGUAGAGGUGAAAUUCGUAGAUAUUGGGAAGAACACCGGUGGCGAAGGCGGCUCACUGGUCCGAUACUGACGCUGAGGUGCGAAAGCGUGGGGAGCAAACAGGAUUAGAUACCCGAGUAGUC
This 442-nucleotide ribosomal RNA is filed under the name uncultured Hyphomicrobiales bacterium. Its description in RNAcentral is "bacterial SSU rRNA". It matches the Rfam family "Bacterial small subunit ribosomal RNA", at positions 336 to 795 of the family's 1533-position model. Lineage: Bacteria; Pseudomonadati; Pseudomonadota; Alphaproteobacteria; Hyphomicrobiales. The record is from RNAcentral.